UCAGUGUCGGUAUAUGAGCCUGAUGGCUAC
RNAcentral lists this small RNA (30 nucleotides) under Bombyx mori (domestic silkworm). Its description in RNAcentral is "ovarian small RNA-25820". Lineage: Eukaryota; Metazoa; Arthropoda; Insecta; Lepidoptera; Bombycidae. The record is from RNAcentral.